CCCCAGCGCUGCAGCUAGACCGCAGGGCCAGCAACUGGUUCUCUAGCAGUGCUGCUUAGGACCCACGUGCUCAGCGUGGAACUCAUGUGUCGGCGAAUGCGGAAGAAAACGGGGAAAACCGAUGUGGCAUGCUCUUCCCAGGCAACUGUGCAGGGACAGGGUCCCGCAAACGUCGCGGGAGAAAAACCGAAGACAUGAGGUGCUCCCGGUGCGGUCCAACAGGCAUAUUUUAAAUAUAUGUCCCCAGGUCCAUGACUGAAGAAAAUUCUGGAAGGACUCCCAGGAAGUUAUUUCUUUUUUCUGCUUGCUGUGAUAUUGAGGUCCAUCCACCUAGGUGCAGACUCAGGAGACAAUUGUCCAGAGGAGAAACCGGUGAUGACAUCUUUUUGGCUGGAUGGAACUGAUGGAAGAUUUAUGGAGCAGCUGAGGAGUGUCAGAGCCAGACCCAGCAGAUUUCCUAAGAGAAUGACCAUGGCUUUUUCAUCAGCGAGCACACUGCCUUCUGAAAUGGUCUAACACNNNNNNNNNNGAGAGAGAGAGAGAGAGAGAGAGAGAGAGAGAGAGAGAGAGAGAGAGAGACCUAUCUAACUAGCCAUCAGUGAGGUUAUCCCUGUACCCCACAGCUGCUGCCACCCAAUCUGAAGGUUCCCGCUUCUGCUCUUGAAGUAUUUAUUGUAUGUGACCACACAGAAGUCCUAGCUGUCACUCACCGUCAAACCCCCUGGCCCCAGUCUGGGACCCAGAGCCCUCCAGGAGUGGGAAACUUCAUCCUAUACCUUCUCAGUCACAGGGAUUUCAGAAAUUAGUCACAGGAAGCAGGGAGGCCGAGAGUGGAGGCUUCCAAGAGGAGCCAGUAACAGGAUCUGGGAUCUUUCACCCCAGGUCACAGAAGCUU
Molecule: long non-coding RNA, 895 nt
Filed under: Mus spicilegus (steppe mouse)
Lineage: Eukaryota; Metazoa; Chordata; Mammalia; Rodentia; Muridae
Description: lncRNA (ENSMSIG00000025713.1)
Source: RNAcentral